This 31-nucleotide non-coding RNA is filed under the name Rattus norvegicus (Norway rat). Lineage: Eukaryota; Metazoa; Chordata; Mammalia; Rodentia; Muridae. The record is from RNAcentral.
UCUUAGAUUCCCAUUAUCUCCUGAGAAGCCU